GAAGAAGAGAAAAGAGGGGAAGAGAAGGGAAAGGGAAGAGAUUGAGAGGAAAUAACUUUAAAGGUUCUCCUAACGAUCUUCAAUAGGAUUUUCGGGUCUUUCGUCUGACGUUCCUUUAGUUCUAUAUUUUCCGGGUUCUUAGUUUCUGAUAGCAGUUGGACUUUGUUGAGUAUUUCUGCUUCUUCAGUUUUGGGUCGGUAUGCCUUGCUUAUUGUUCAAGGUUGUUUUGAUUCGAUGUCUUAGACGCUCCACUAUUACUCUGUUUUAAUUAAGUUUGGAUUUUGACAAUGUAAUGAGUAUUAUGAAUUAUUAUUUUUGUAUUAAUUACUUAUGAAGAGUUUUGAACUAUCCUUUGAUUUCAUCAGCUUUGAAUAAUAUACUAUUUCUGAAGAUUAUGAAAUGCUGCGUAUUUUUGAAUAUCUUGUUCUUUUGAUAUGUCCGUUUUGAGGCUUAGCGUAGGUGGGGUGUCCUUUCGACACUGCUCCUGCGUUGCCGGUCAUGGACCCGGGAUUCGGGUCGUGACAAAAAUAGA
Molecule: long non-coding RNA, 532 nt
Organism: Populus euphratica (Euphrates poplar)
Lineage: Eukaryota; Viridiplantae; Streptophyta; Magnoliopsida; Malpighiales; Salicaceae
Exons: 3
Source: RefSeq, a predicted model, not a curated record